Peromyscus eremicus (cactus mouse) is the source of this 201-nucleotide long non-coding RNA. RefSeq lists it as uncharacterized. The transcript has 2 exons. The record is from RefSeq and is a predicted model, not a curated record. NCBI's taxonomy places the organism in Eukaryota, Metazoa, Chordata, Mammalia, Rodentia, Cricetidae.
UAUGAAGAAUGCUAGCAACUAGUCCAUGUUAGGCACUCCUGCAUUGGGCUCCUGUCCUUGUAUCUUGGAGUAGCUGUUGGUUGCCCACAGAACAGAUGGACAUAAAGACAGACUAGGAAUCUCCAAUCUACUGGACCUUGCUAAAGAAUGUGUGUGCCCCUGAAACUUCCUACAAAAUACAGUGACUGAAAUUAAGCUGCA